AACUUUUGAUAUUGAUGAAUUUACAAAUGAUUUACAGAAAAUAAAGAUUUCAGAAAAUUGUAAUGAAAAAGAUUUAAAUAAAAUAUAUGAUGAUUAUGAAGAAGACUUAGAUUUUAAAAACAUAUUAAAUAAACAUGCACCUGUAAAAUCUAGGUGUCAAAGAAAUAAACCACUUCCAUGUAUGAAUAAAGAACUGAGAGGGGCCAUAUAUAGAAAACAAAUGCUUUAUUCACAAUAUACUAAAAACCGGAGUGACAAAAAUUGGAAGAAAUUUAGAAAACAAAGAAAUUUGGUAACAAAGAUAAAGAGAA
This 311-nucleotide long non-coding RNA is filed under the name Mytilus galloprovincialis (Mediterranean mussel). Lineage: Eukaryota; Metazoa; Mollusca; Bivalvia; Mytilida; Mytilidae. The record is from RNAcentral.